UGGGGAAUAUUGGACAAUGGGCGAAAGCCUGAUCCAGCCAUGCCGCGUGUGUGAAGAAGGUCUUCGGAUUGUAACGCACUUUAAGUUGGGAGGAAGGGCAGUAAGCGAAUACCUUGCUGUUUUGACGUUACCGACAGAAUAAGCACCGGCUAACUCUGUGCCAGCAGCCGCGGUAAUACAGAGGGUGCAAGCGUUAAUCGGAAUUACUGGGCGUAAAGCGCGCGUAGGUGGUUCGUUAAGUUGAAUGUGAAAGCCCCGGGCUCAAACUGGGAACUGCAUCCAAAACUGGCGAGAUAGAGUAGGGCAGAGGGUGGUGGAAUUUCCUGUGUAGCGGUGAAAUGCGUAGAUAUAGGAAGGAACACCAGUGGCGAAGACGACCACCUGGGCGCAUACUGACACUGAGGUGCGAAAGCGUGGGGAGAAAACAGG
Molecule: ribosomal RNA, 429 nt
Filed under: Pseudomonadota bacterium
Lineage: Bacteria; Pseudomonadati; Pseudomonadota
Description: Proteobacteria bacterium partial 16S ribosomal RNA
Rfam family: Bacterial small subunit ribosomal RNA
Source: RNAcentral